Molecule: ribosomal RNA, 253 nt
Filed under: uncultured bacterium
Lineage: Bacteria
Description: partial 16S ribosomal RNA
Rfam family: Bacterial small subunit ribosomal RNA
Source: RNAcentral
UACGUAGGGUGCAAGCGUUGUCCGGGAUUAUUGGGCGUAAAGAGCUCGUAGGCGGUUUGUCGCGUCUGCUGUGAAAGUUCGGGGCUCAACCCCGGAACUGCAGUGGGUACGGGCAGACUAGAGUGCGGUAGAGGAGACUGGAAUUCCUGGUGAAGCGGUGGAAUGCGCAGAUAUCAGGAGGAACACCAGUGGCGAAGGCGGGUCUCUGGGCCGCAACUGACGUUGAGGAGCGAAAGCGUGGGGAGCUAACAGG